GGUUGAACGGAGCGUCGGGUGGCUGUUUUUUGGCGCUGGGCGGUUCUGUGGCUUUAGGCAAACUGUCGGGCGGCCAUUUUUGGCGCCGGGCGGUGGUCCGCUGGGCCUGGGCUUGAAUUUUGUCACUUUUCUUGAUUAUAAAUACCCCUAUUGCGAGUUCAGAGUCAUUCUUUUGACAGGGGAGAACGAUCAGACCUAAUUUUGCUCUCUGGAGAGGAUCUCUUGGAUGCUUAGGCUCCUUUUCAUCUUUUCUAGGGUUUGCUCUUCCAUCUUUCUUCCAUUUUUCAUCUAGUUUCACCAUGUCUAUGGUGAACUAAACCCUAUUGUUGUUGGGAGAAACAAUGUAAUCUUUUGAUGCUCUCUUUUAUUGAAACUCUUGAUUAUUUAUAUGGUCUCCAUAUGUUUUGAUUGAUAAUUGUUGGUUUAUCAUCUGUGCUUAAGGCCUUUAUCGUUUAACUCAUUCGAUAACUGAUGUUUGUCUUUAUUGAUAUGGGGACGUACAAUAAUGACAUGAACUGGUGAGUAAUCUCUUGAUUUUGCAAUACCACCUAGGGAUAGGGGUAGGACGAUCAAUUGCGCUAACUUUUGUUUAUAAUGCGGUAUUAAUUACUAGGGGAGGCUAGGGAUAGCAAGCCANUAGUUAAUAUUAGGCCCUUUUCGCCGAGGGAUCGGGUUAAGGGGAGGCUAAGAAAGUCGCAUAACAAUUAAUUAAUCAAACUAAUAUUCAAGAGGAGUAGAUAAGAGAGAGAGGAUUAGAUGAAAUUGUCAAACCCCAACAACAUCCAUUCAUCCAUUGUUUUCGUUUGUCAAUUGAAUCAACUUUAUUUUNCAUGUUAAUAUUUUUGUUCUCAAAUCCAAUUUAUUAAUUUUUAUUUUCAAGUCUUAUUAUUUUAAUUCACGCGAACGAGAAAACCAUUCGAGUCUCUUGGGAAAACGAUACUUGGUCUUACCAUUUAUA
This 958-nucleotide long non-coding RNA is filed under the name Vigna radiata. Its description in RNAcentral is "long non-coding RNA (VRAD_LNC017449)". The record is from RNAcentral. Lineage: Eukaryota; Viridiplantae; Streptophyta; Magnoliopsida; Fabales; Fabaceae.